GAUGAACGCUGGCGGCGUGCCUAAUACAUGCAAGUCGAGCGAACAGACGAGGAGCUUGCUCCUCUGACGUUAGCGGCGGACGGGUGAGUAACACGUGGAUAACCUACCUAUAAGACUGGGAUAACUUCGGGAAACCGGAGCUAAUACCGGAUAAUAUAUUGAACCGCAUGGUUCAAUAGUGAAAGACGGUUUUGCUGUCACUUAUAGAUGGAGCCGCGCCGCAUUAGCUAGUUGGUAAGGUAACGGCUUACCAAGGCGACGAUGCGUAGCCGACCUGAGAGGGGGGACGGUGAAACUGGGACUGAGACACGGGCGAGACGCCGACGGGAGGCAGCAGGGGGGAAUAUGGCACAAGGGGCGGAAGGAUGAGGCAGCGAAGCAGCAAGAGGGAUGGAGGCGUUCGGGUUGUGAACCGCGUUAGCCAGAGAAGCAGGCCUGCCUCGAUUGUGGGGGGGUGGACGGUAGCUGGAUAAGAAGAGACGGCUAAAUACGUG
This 494-nucleotide ribosomal RNA is filed under the name uncultured bacterium. Its description in RNAcentral is "partial 16S ribosomal RNA". It matches the Rfam family "Bacterial small subunit ribosomal RNA", at positions 28 to 507 of the family's 1533-position model. The record is from RNAcentral.